GGGUUGAGCCCUUGGAUUGGAUGAGAAAGGAAGGUCAGGUUGGCACUGACACCUGAGAGAGGUCAUGACCUAAGGAGAGAGACACUAAUAAAGCCCCUAGAGGAGCUUAAUCUAUGGAUCUUAGGCAUAAUCUAAUUUUAUAUAAAUUUUUAAAUUUUCUGUACUUAUUGCUGGUUUAACCAAAUCUUCUUGCUGGUUUAACCAAACAAUAACCAGCAAUAAUAUUUGGUUAAACAUGAUUGUCUGUUUUCGAAGCCAUGCUUUGGAAAAUGAGGGGUGGAUCUGUGUCCCACUUGGGAGAAGUAGGGAAAGGAAGAGGGUGGCCAUGUGGGGAGACACAGGGGUGGGUGAGGAGUCAGGAGGUGAUAAGGUACAGCUGGGAUAGGUUUGUAGAACUUUCAAGCAUUCCUUGGAGGUUCUAAAAAUAAUCAGGGAAGAAUCAUACAGGGUGCGCUUCUGUGGUUAAGUGGAUUGGGAUUGGAGCCAUUGCUGUCCAGGCCUUGGAAAGAAGUGCCACCAUGGACACGUAGUGGGAUAGCAGACAGCUGGAUUAAACAUUUGACCAAAAGAAAAAGGCCCCAAACUUUUCCCCUCUUUAAAAGUUUUACACUUCAAUAUCAAUUCUAGUCAUCAAUUAAAUCAAUAUGAAUAAUUAUUUAAUUAUUUGUUCCAGUCGAUUGGCUCACACAGUGUCUUGAGACAGCUCGUUUUCCACUUUUUCUCUUUCUUCUUCUCUGUUCAAACCAAAGGGCUCAUUCAGGCAUUGGCUGGACUCAGACAGUCAUUUCCAUGUCUGCAGCCUGGAGUGUCUCCCCCCCACCCCACCCCGGAAACAAUGUGUUUCCCUGAGAUCAGAACAGACACUUGCAAGGCUGAGAUCUCUGAAGCAAGUUUCUCCCUUCACCAUUACCCUUUAACUAAUAUAACCCCUUAUCUCGUACCAUUUUCUCAGCAUCCUAGAGGGCAACCAGACACAAUAACCCAGGGGAGUCAAUGUGAGAAAGUGGCCAUCAGUAGCGAGUAACCCAUGGAGAUGGCGUGGGGUCGUGUUGCAGCUUUAAAGACUAACCUAUCUCUUAGUAGUCAUGACCCUUUUUAGAAAUCUGGGUAAACUUUUAUAAAAGCUAAAGUUUCCUUGAUGAGCUAAUUCCUGGAAAAAUGUUAUUGGCCAGAUGGCAUCUUCCAGGCAAUAUUCUAGUUCAAAGGGAACUCAAAAAAGGAAAAAUCUUUAAAGAAUCAUCAGCCAAAAAAGUCAUUGUAUUUUGCGCUGGUCUCAGGUCCUCAGCCUAUUACCAAAAGAGACUGGCAGAGGAGGUUGUCUGGUGCUACUGGGGUCAGGAGCUCUUUCUUUGCGAUCACCUGUGGUGGAUGUCAUCGCAGAUGGGUUUCUGUCUGUGCUUUGGUGAAACUUGUUACCUAAUUUUUACCCACUGUUGGGACUAGAAAUCUAGAAAAGAAAAAAAGUCAUUCUACACCAAUUAGUUGCGAUCAACUGAAAGAACAAGAUGAUGAAGGAAAUAUCAAGUAAUCCAAUAAAUUUGAGGUUUAAAAAAAAAACACCUUAUCUUGGGGAAGGAUGCAAUCUCAAUUUUUUUUUUUAACAAAAAUUUACUUUCUAUGCUAUGGUUGCCACUGUUGCUGCUGCUGUUUUUAGCAUUUCCUGUUCUGUUUUGAGAAUAGGAAAUAACAGGCUUCUGAAACCUUAUUAACAUUCAUCAACAAAAAGCAUAGAAGAUUUGAGGUUAGAGAGACAUGGGAAGGUAUUGUGUCCCUGCCAUUUAUUUUGUGUGUGACCUUGGAAAACUUAUGUACACUCUCCAAGCUUACCUUUCAUCAUCUAUAAUUAUGCCUCUCUCACUGGGUUUUGAGAGAAGUAAGACACUCAAGUAUAGAUCACUUAAUGAUCUGGUACAUAUUAGAAGCAAUAAAUCUCAGCGGUUAUCAUUACUACCACUAUAAUUUUUUACUCACAAAAAUUAGAAGAGCAGAUACAUAGUAUAAUAAAAUCUUGGAACUGGAAUCAUAAUUGCCCAUUCUAGCCACUUAUAUGUAUCAAUUUUAUUUGAAAAUUCCUAAGGAAUAUCCUGAUUCCCCAAACACAAUAUAUAAAGACAUUCAUAUUCACAACACGACUUUCUUCUACAGACUGUGGAGUAGAAGCAGUCUACUGUAGCCCCUGCUCCCAGGAGCUGGCCGGGCACUCACAACCAAGUCAUGGCAUUCUGUGGUUGAACAUAAACAACUUCAUAUCAAAUCAUUUUCAGACAAAAGCAUGAACAUUAUCCAAACCAAAAAAUGACCAAACACCCCCCUAUUCUGUAAAACAGAAGUGAUUGUUGAUUCUUUAUCAAUCACAUUAGCCUCGUUUCAUUCUUCUCACCUUUAAGAGGUAGUAGGUGCAAAAUCACAAAAACUGCUGCUGCUUCCUGCUUCCUGGCAGCAUUCAAUCCAAAGAAAACCCCACUUCCUCUCAACCUUCUCUGAUUCUUGAAGAUACUUUAUUUCCUUUAGAAGUUUGCAGACACUGAUCUGCUAUUUAUGACAUUGUUACUGAAGAGAUGUCUCUGGGAUCAACUGAAUUAUUUCUGCCUCUUUGGAAAUUUAUUUUUCUAUUUGUAGGUAAACAAAAUUCUUUUUUUUUGUUGUUGCUGUUGGUUCUUGAAGAUCUCAGGAAAUAGCUUGGUAUUGAUUAUUCUGUAUCAGUUUUUCUGGGUUGAGAUUUUUCAUUCAACCUGUAGAUUCAAUUGUAUCAAUUAUUCCAGAAGAGUUUUCUUCUAUUGUACCACUGAAUAUUUUUCUCCAUUUCACAUGUUCUGUUUCAUUCUUUAGAAAUUCCAUUCAUGUGUGUGUUGGAUCUCCUCAGUUUGGUUGUUUGACUCUUAUCAACCUCUGUCAAAUGACUUGCUUUUCCUAUAGCCACUCCUGACAUAUAGUCAAAUCUUGUUCUUCUAAUGACAGCAUCCUUGGAUGAGCCUUUUUGGAUG
Molecule: long non-coding RNA, 2984 nt
Filed under: Sus scrofa (pig)
Lineage: Eukaryota; Metazoa; Chordata; Mammalia; Artiodactyla; Suidae
Description: lncRNA (ENSSSCG00030057188.1)
Source: RNAcentral